UGCUGGAUAGCUCAGUCAGUAGAGAAUAAGAUUCUUAAUUUCAGGGUUGUGGGUUCAAGUCCCAUGCUAGGGAA
Podarcis lilfordi (Lilford's wall lizard) is the source of this 74-nucleotide non-coding RNA. The record is from the annotation of a GenBank genome assembly. NCBI's taxonomy places the organism in Eukaryota, Metazoa, Chordata, Lepidosauria, Squamata, Lacertidae.